This 253-nucleotide ribosomal RNA is filed under the name uncultured bacterium. RNAcentral's name for it is "partial 16S ribosomal RNA". It matches the Rfam family "Bacterial small subunit ribosomal RNA", at positions 524 to 776 of the family's 1533-position model. The record is from RNAcentral.
UACAGAGGGGGCAAGCGUUAUUCGGAAUUAUUGGGCGUAAAGGGCGCGUAGGCGGCCAUUCAAGUGACGGGUGAAAGCCCUCGGCUUAACCGAGGAACUGCCUGUCAGACUGGAUGGCUUGAGACCGGGAGAGGUGAGUGGAAUUCCCAGUGUAGCGGUGAAAUGCGUAGAUAUUGGGAGAAACACCAGUGGCGAAGGCGGCUCACUGGACCGGAACUGACGCUGAGGCGCGAAAGCGUGGGGAGCAAACAGG